AUUGAAUAAUGUCUGGCGAUUUUUUUUUUUUUAAUUAAAGGAAGCAGCCAGCUAGGGACCAAAUGCUUACAAAGUCCAAGAACCUUGCAGCCCAAGGGAAGAACUUUCCGAGCGCUAUUUGUCCGCUCAUUUAUUGGCGUGAAAUCAAUCGAAUCAAAUUCUAUUGCAAAAUUCAAAUCUCAGCUCUAUUAGGAUCAUCGUGUCAAAGGCCAUGGCUUGGUCUCAUGAUAUCUGCAGCAAACUCCCGCUUCUAAAGGGCAUCUUCUCAUGUAUUCCCUGGUUUUCUUCUGAUUCAUCGGAUUACGUUGGGUUCGAAGGCUACGAAGGAGAGCAUCCGGCGGAGGUCGCCGGAAACAUUGAGGCGCAAAAGCACUUCCGGCAACAAAUUCGUUUUUCUUAAGGAUGGAGAGCUAGAGACCCCGAAGAAGACGGAGAAGAGGAUCAUAUGGAUGCGCGUCGCUCAAAAAUUAAGAUAUCGCCAACAGAACCAUUCUGCUGAUGACUUCUUCAUACGAGUUGAAUGCUCCUAUGUUAUAUAUGGAAAUAGUUAAUAUGAGUGACGACUCAUUUCGCUAAAUAAGCUAUCAAUAGACAGACUAGUAGUAAGGUUCAUCAUGCUAGUCAUAUAGGAGCAGAUGAGCUUUCACCCCUCUUAAUUCUUGCUUUUUAGUGUAUUACUAGUUGUUCUAAUAGCUUAUGUUCGGUGAAUGUGUUUGUAUAUUACGAUAGAUCUAGUAGAGGGGCUAUAAGACAAGAUUGUCGGAGAAGCAUGCCUGGUGAAAUACGGGUAGGAACGAAACAAUUUGAGUACUAAGGUGAGGCUGCUGGCUAGGCCUUGAAGGUUAUGCAGCCCAAGCUUACCCCCAGUGUUCAUUAACUCAUCAUGAGUAUUGAUUCCCGUAGACGUUGUCACUUAUUUCUAUAAGAUAAAAUUGGAAAUUUGAUCGUAUUUAUUUGUGAGAUCGAGAUCUGACCCUCAUCGCUAAUUCUUCCAAUCAAAUGAAAUUGUUAGGGGGUUGAGGUUUCAUGUACUUGGAAAUCUAUAAGUCCUUUGCAUGUUCAAGUACGUGGACAUGAUAAUAAUAUGCCAGAUUUCAGUUGAAGUAUUCAUGGUUGUAU
This is a long non-coding RNA of Asparagus officinalis (garden asparagus), 1119 nucleotides long. RefSeq lists it as uncharacterized. The record is from RefSeq and is a predicted model, not a curated record. NCBI's taxonomy places the organism in Eukaryota, Viridiplantae, Streptophyta, Magnoliopsida, Asparagales, Asparagaceae. The transcript has 3 exons.